Molecule: microRNA, 21 nt
Filed under: Ascaris suum (pig roundworm)
Lineage: Eukaryota; Metazoa; Nematoda; Chromadorea; Rhabditida; Ascarididae
Description: asu-miR-81c-5p
Gene: asu-miR-81c-5p
Source: miRBase by way of RNAcentral
GCGGAUGUGCAUGAGAUCAUG